GUGCUCUGGUCCAGGCAGCACUGACUCAGCCGCCCUCAGUGUUAGCAAAGCUAGGACAAACUGUCCAGAUGACCCACUCCUGGCUUUACAGCAGGAGCUAUGGUUUUGGCUGGUACCAGCAGAAGGUACCCAGCACUGCCCCUGUCACUGUCAUCUACAACAAUGACAAGAGACCCUCGGACAUCCCUUCGCGAUUCUCCGGCUCCAAGUCCGGCUCCACGGCCACGUUAACCAUCACUGGGGUCCAAGCCGAGGACGAGGCCGUCUAUUACUGUGGUGCCUAUGACAGCAGCUAUGUUGGUGUCUUUGGCAGUGGGACCCAGCUGACCGUUCUAGGUCAGCCCAAGGCUUCCCCCAACGUCCACCUCUUCCCACCGUCCUCCAAGGAGCUCUCGACGCAGAGCAAAGCCAUCCUGGUGUGUCUGCUGGGAGACUUCUACCCCGGUGCCAUGUGGGUGGCCGUGCCCUCAGCAGUGGCAUCGAGACCAGCCAGCCCCAGCGGCAGACCAACGAGUACAUGGCCAGCAGCUACCUGGUGCUGGGUGCUGCUAACUGGAAGAUCCAUGAGACCCACACCUGCAAGGUCACGCAUGAGACUGCCACCAUCAAGAAGGUCCUGAAUAGAUCUGAGUGCUCCUAA
Non-coding RNA from Cariama cristata (Red-legged seriema), 640 nucleotides. Lineage: Eukaryota; Metazoa; Chordata; Aves; Cariamiformes; Cariamidae. The record is from the annotation of a RefSeq genome assembly.